This 74-nucleotide transfer RNA is filed under the name Wolbachia endosymbiont of Menacanthus eurysternus. RNAcentral's name for it is "tRNA-Ile". It matches the Rfam family "tRNA". From Rfam's summary of the family: Transfer RNA (tRNA) molecules are approximately 80 nucleotides in length. Their secondary structure includes four short double-helical elements and three loops (D, anti-codon, and T loops). Further hydrogen bonds mediate the characteristic L-shaped molecular structure. tRNAs have two regions of fundamental functional importance: the anti-codon, which is responsible for specific mRNA codon recognition, and the 3' end, to which the tRNAs corresponding amino acid is attached (by aminoacyl-tRNA synthetases). tRNAs cope with the degeneracy of the genetic code in two manners: having more than one tRNA (with a specific anti-codon) for a particular amino acid; and 'wobble' base-pairing, i.e. permitting non-standard base-pairing at the 3rd anti-codon position. Lineage: Bacteria; Pseudomonadati; Pseudomonadota; Alphaproteobacteria; Rickettsiales; Anaplasmataceae. The record is from RNAcentral.
GGGUCUGUAGCUCAGGUGGUUAGAGUACACGCCUGAUAAGCGUGAGGUCGGAGGUUCGAUUCUUCCCAGGCCCA